GUACCUUCGGGUGCGAGUAGAGCGGCGGACGGGUGAGUAACGCGUAGGAGUCUACCUAGUAGAAGGGGAUAGCCCGGGGAAACUCGGAUUAAUACCGUAUACCUCCUCAGGGAGAAAGAGGGCUUAGCUUUGAUGCUCUCGCUAUUAGAUGAGCCUGCGUAAGAUUAGCUUGUUGGUGAGGUAAUGGCUCACCAAGGCGACGAUCUUUAGCUGGUCUGAGAGGACGAUCAGCCACAUUGGGACUGAGACACGGCCCAGACUCCUACGGGAGGCAGCAGUGGGGAAUAUUGGACAAUGGGCGCAAGCCUGAUCCAGCCAUACCGCGUGUGUGAAGAAGGCUUUCGGGUUGUAAAGCACUUUAAGUAAGGAGAAAAAGAUUGUAGUUAAUACCUGCAAUCCGUGAUGUUACUUACAGAAUAAGGACCGGCUAAUUCCGUGCCAGCAGCCGCGGUAAUACGGAAGGUCCAAGCGUUAAUCGGAAUUACUGGGCGUAAAGCGCGCGUAGGUGGUUUUUUAAGUUGGAUGUGAAAGCCCUGGGCUCAACCUAGGAACUGCAUCCAAAACUAGAUGACUAGAGUACGAAAGAGGGAGGUAGAAUUCACAGUGUAGCGGUGGAAUGCGUAGAUAUUGUGAAGAAUACCAAUGGCGAAGGCAGCCUCCUGGUUCUGUACUGACACUAAGGUGCGAAAGCGUGGGGUAGUGAACAGGAUUAGAUACCCUGGUAGUCCACGCCGUAAACGAUGACAACUAGCUGUUGGGAGACAAGAUCUCUCAGUGGCGCAGCUAACGCUUUAAGUUGUCCGCCUGGGG
Molecule: ribosomal RNA, 810 nt
Filed under: uncultured marine bacterium
Lineage: Bacteria
Description: bacterial SSU rRNA
Rfam family: Bacterial small subunit ribosomal RNA
Source: RNAcentral